UGGGGAAUUUUGGACAAUGGGGGCAACCCUGAUCCAGCCAUCCCGCGUGUGCGAUGAAGGCCUUCGGGUUGUAAAGCACUUUUGGCAGGGAAGAAACAGCCUGGGCUAAUAUCCCGGGCGACUGACGGUACCUGCAGAAUAAGCACCGGCUAACUACGUGCCAGCAGCCGCGGUAAUACGUAGGGUGCAAGCGUUAAUCGGAAUUACUGGGCGUAAAGCGUGCGCAGGCGGUUCGGAAAGAAAGGUGUGAAAUCCCAGGGCUUAACCUUGGAACUGCACUUUUAACUACCGGGCUAGAGUACGUCAGAGGGGGGUAGAAUUCCACGUGUAGCAGUGAAAUGCGUAGAGAUGUGGAGGAAUACCGAUGGCGAAGGCAGCUCCCUGGGAUGAUACUGACGCUCAUGCACGAAAGCGUGGGGAGCAAACA
This 427-nucleotide ribosomal RNA is filed under the name uncultured bacterium. RNAcentral describes it as "bacterial SSU rRNA". It matches the Rfam family "Bacterial small subunit ribosomal RNA", at positions 355 to 774 of the family's 1533-position model. The record is from RNAcentral.